This 864-nucleotide ribosomal RNA is filed under the name Triticum aestivum (bread wheat). Its description in RNAcentral is "partial small subunit ribosomal RNA". The record is from RNAcentral. Lineage: Eukaryota; Viridiplantae; Streptophyta; Magnoliopsida; Poales; Poaceae.
AUGCAUAGGGGCACCCGUGUCUCCGCCCAAGAAAGGGGUACAGGACCAGAUUGCCGAAGCAGGCGCCCGCGCGGCAGCCCCGCACGGAUCGGACGCAUGCAUCGGGUCACGAACGUUCCCAGGAAACAUCAAGAAUAUUUUGAUAUGUUCAGCGAUUGGGCAAAUAUCUUAUAUACGGAAGAAAUAGAUCGCGCAGAAUCAUCCAUUGAGAUCUUGUCGCCAUUGCUCGCCGAGGACCAUGUACGGCCCCGACUUACCACCGUCGAGGUACCACCACCAGGCAGACCCGCCGCCUCCGCCCAACGGGUCCAAGGCGCUGAGCCUCCUGCUCCGCCUGUGCGCGAUGCUGCUGCCGUCGUGUCGGCUGUGGUGAUGGCCGCGUCCAGCGAGUGCGCCGCCCACGCGCCGUCGGACGACUCCGGCGCCGCCGCACCCGUCGUCACCUUCACAUAUAACCGGUUCGGCGCCUUCGUGCUCCUGGUCGGGUGCAACAUCACGGCCGCCAUCCUGGAGGCGCUGGCGGUGUACCUGCACGUCAGCCUCGACGUGGCCGCCGUCACCGCCGCCGCUGCGGCCGACGAGAAGGAUAGUCUGGACGAGGAAGAGGCGCCGGCCGGGGUCAACAUCCCCGCCAUCGUGCUGGUAGUCGUGGACCUGCUGGUGCACGCGUUGCUCUACUCGGCGACGGCGGCAGCCUACACGGCCGCGGCCGCGUACGCCGCGCAGAUCGGCGCCUGCGCGCGGUUCGCCUGGCAGGUGGAGCGGGCCAAGAUCCUGUCGCUGGCUGCUUCCAUCGCCGUCACCCUUGCCGCCGUGGCCAAGGACGUGCCGCUGCCGUUCAACGUCCCGCCCGUUCUAGGUUGA